UGUGUGUGCGCGCCCGUGUACGACGCAAGGACGAAUUGUAUACGCAAUAAAUAAUUAGGAAUCAGCAGCGGCAUUUAAGACGAUCACGUCUUGAUCGCUACAAAUGAAGCGAGGCGGCGAGAGAGAGUAGCCGGAAACCCUAAUGGAAAAGUUCCGCAGAGAGAGAGAGAGAAGGGGACGGGCGCGUUCCUCUUCUUCCAUCUUCUAUUUGGUGGUGGAUCUUCUUAUUCUUCUUCUUCUUCUUCUUCUUAUUCGUCUUGGUUUGAGUUUGUGGUCGAUUGGAAGGGGGUUGUGGAGUCUCGUCCGGGGCGGUUGGGGGGGUUGACAGAAGAGAGUGAGCACACGGCGGCGAUCGCAUCGGCGGGGUGCCAUCGCUGUUGCGUGCUCACCUCUCUCUCUGUCAUCCCGAUAUCUCCGGAUCCGUUUCUUCAUCCGAUGGCGAUCGUGGUGUCUUGGUGUGGAAGUGGUAAAAAGAGUGGUGACGGGAAAAAGGUAAGGGUGCGUUUUGCUGGACAUGCGCGCAGGCUCUUUUUUUAUGUCGGCAGCUCGUCUCUGAGCAGUCUCGUCAUGGGCGGGUUACCGAGGUAGAGAGUAGGAGUGUCGUAUCCGGUUAUGAUGGUGGUCGUGUACUUCUUUCCAUUUCUGGAGGUUUCUAUUUUUCCUGAUACAGCUACGGAAGCAAGAAAUCAAGGAAGAGGAAGACGGUGAGAAAGAAAAAUCUCAUCUUGGUGGAUCUGAGAGUGGAAGCGUGGCUUCUGCGUUGAAGGCGAUUUGCAUCGGGGAGCGAGCUCGGAUGGGUGCAGAGUCAGACGUCUCCUCACUCUCUUUAUCUUCUGCUUUCCGUCUUUAUCUUCUGCCGCUUACUCGGAUUUAUGGAAAUCGCUGUUGACCGGUCGUCGUCGUCCUCUUCUUCUUGUCUGCCUUCCUCGCCUUACCUCGCCUCACUCUCCUACUAAUGCUUCUUUCCUUCCCUUGCUUUUCUUGUCUUUUCAGAUGGAUGAUGAACUGAUCUUUGGAACUCGAAGGCCAGUUCCAUUGGUUACGAUAAUCUCGAGGGUUGCUGCACGCAUGCAUCAAGCAAUCAUUGAGUUGGUUUUCCUGUUGGAAGUCGGAUGAAUCUGUGGAUGCUCCAUAAGGCCUCGGUAAGUCGUCGGACUUCGUUUCGUGGUCGACGUUCUACCUCAUUACUAGUUGAGGAAAGAGUCUCGUCUGCUUUUGGUUAUGCGACGGAGGGCUUUAUUCCUUUGGUCACAGGAAAGCUUUAUCACAUCGGGCAACAAUGGAGCUUCUUAUGGUUUCUUUCUCGGUUAGGGAGUGAAAUUGUGCUUUUAUAUAAUAUCCAACUUGAUGUAUAUUAGUUUACCUAAAUUCCUGUGUUCUGAUGUGGCGAUGUGAAUGGCUAUAGCUAUAGGAAUGGAAUUUAGGAAGAGAAAGUUCAUAAAUUUAGGUCUUUUCUUUGAUCUAUGCCCUAUACAAUGCCAAGAAAAUCUUGUUGACAGAACUGAAUUUUUAGGAACCCACAUAGAACAUAAGAUCAGAUAUUGUUUAUUCAUUGGAAAAUCUGUGUUUGUUUUCCACGGUAUGAAAUUAAAAUGUCUCAUGUUUAACGAGAUUGUCAAGUUUGCUAACAUAAGAUUUGAUUGAUCUGUGGUAAUUUUUUUUAUUAUAAUUAUACUUAUGAGUUUAUGAGGCAUGACUGACCCUUUUCACCCUUUUUACCAUGAAACUUCUGCCAAAUGGACUCUUUAACCACACCAUUUUUGGGGACAAGAAAACAACAAUACAAAAGCUCAAAGAAAGCUAAAUAUUGGUUGAAUGAUUGAUGAAGAAAAAGCAAGUACUGAAUCAUUGAACUUGAAGGGGAAGCAUAUUGAUUGCCUGAUGGACUAUGACAAGGAAUUGUCAGGGGGAAUUUCGGUGGUUAUAAAUCUUUUCAUUAUAGUGGAAAAGACAAUGUCCUACCAUUUAGCUCAUAAUCAUAUGGAUGAAUUGACAUUUUGACCCAAUUCAUUUGUCAUUCCAGCCCUUGUUCUUCUACAGCUAUUUGAUGUGUUUUGUAUGGAAAGACGCUAUAAUGUCGAUGUCCUUCAGAAUCAUUUACUAUUUUAUUAUACUUUCGCUUAUUUACUUUACAUAUUUAUGGUCUUUUUUUUAGUUGCUUCCUAUUGCCUAAAUGCUUGUUUAAGUUUGGUAUCGAUUCAGGAGGUUAUACAGCUCUUCCCUUAAUUGCGAAUAAUUAAGUUGUCUAUGAUGGAUAGAAAUGAAUUGCAUCUUAGUGUUGCUUGUUUUCCUGAACCCUAGUAGAGGACAGGAAUAUAAUUACCUGCAUUUUUCAUGAUUCUAAACACCUUUGUCAGACUACAGAUAUGUUCCUGUCUUUUUGUUCUUACAUUUUUGAGAAAAUAUUCCAUGCUGGCUUUCCAUCCCAAGUUCUUUAAAUUUUCUUUUAUUUUUUCUCUAAGCAGAUAGAAGCACUACCAGUUUUACUGGAUAAAUAUUGUUGCUAUUGUUAAUUCUUGAACAUAUUAUCUUAUCUAUAUUUUGCACAAUUUUCUUCAAAAUCAGUUGUCUGACUAAUUCAGCACCAUUGCUUUCUUGAUCCAGGAUUACUAUAGUUCAAUAACCUGGAAGGACACUUUUAUAACAAAGAUGUUUCUUAAAGUUAGAUUUAAGGCUAACAGGGAUUCAGAAUUUUGAUGACACAUAGAAUAAGUUUUUUAAGAAAGAAUUUACUUCUUCCAUUCAAAUACUACAUAAUGUGUGCACAAGACUCCUACAACCGGACUUGGAUUCCUUACCUUACUACACACAUUUCUCCUUGAACAGUAAACUGUCUCCUUCAAAGACCACACAGUCUAAGUGACUUUGCAAGACAGAUAUCAUCACAUUUUAAGUGAUAAUGUAUUACCAUGAAUGGUGUUUGAUUGGAAGAGACUGUAAGCAAAUGCUAUCUGGGUUGGCAUUUGUUGAAUUGACUUAUUAGUAUACAUUAAAUGUUCCUUAAUGUGCUGACUUCUUAGCUCUUAAGUGGCAUUUACUUUGUUGACCUUUUAUCGAGUCCAUCAUUUAUUCUUUUGCUACAGAAGGUCUAUAUGUGCUAUUUUGAGUGCAACACUGUCAUUUAAUGUGGCUUAGAAAUUGAAAUACAAGAUAUAGAUGGAUUUGUUGGAACUUUCUGAAAGCUUUUGUUCUUCUUGUCUGAAAUCUACUAAGCAAAUACUAUAUCUGAAAUUUAAUAAUUAAAUCCCUUCUUGAUUUGUUUCUCCAUGUCCGGACCGUCAACUAAGCUUUUGUUCUUGUUGUCUAUCUUUCUAUAUAUAUUUCAAAUUAUUGCAAUAUCUCAUAGAAGAUGAGAGCAGAAAGGCCUCCCAUGAGACAUGAGAGUAGAAAAGGAGAUCUAAGUUAAAAAAGAAAGGAAGACCCAAUGCAGAAUGUGGGUUUUGGCAGGGUUAAAUGUUACAAUCUUAUUGUUAUAGACAGAGAGAUCAUUUCCAUGAUUUAUACGUUUACCUGAAUAUAGUAGUCUUUGGUAUGCUCCUAAUUAUCUAGGAAAUAAGCUGGAAAUGCAUCUAAAUCUUACAUGAUUGGAUAAAAUUCGUGAGUACUGAAUGAUUGUGUGCUUUUGAAUGCUAAAAAAUACUUGAUAUGGACAAAUUCAUAACUUGACCAUAUCUUUUACCCGAAGUCCCUUUGUGGAUGAGGGAUGUCUUCAAUUUCAAGUUAUUUUCUUAAGGUCUGUUGUGUGGUGCUUUAGGGUUUUGCACUGCCAUUGGCAUCUUGAUGCUUUUGUCUUAUCAAUUCAUAAAUCUAAUGAAACAGUGGAUUUUUGUGAGCUUUUCUAAUAUAAGAAUAGAUUGUAAUUGUACCAUGUUCAAGAUGUGAGUUUUAUGAUGUGGUUCAUAUUUGGUGAUCAUCUUGAUAUGAGAUAAACAUAAUAAAUCACUUUCAUUUUUGUUAAGUUUAUGUCUAAGGAUUGUAGUAACUCAGCAUCAAGCAAGGAUUCUUUUUUUUUUUUCCUGAUUAUAUACAUAAAUGGUGCAUCGUUCGCUCUUCUUUAUAGCUGCAAACAUCUUCUUUUCCUUUCAUGAGUCCAAAUUGGCAAUCUCCAGGAUUUGAUUGCUGAUUUAAUUCUUGUUGUGGCGCCAAGCUCCGUGAUGAUACAACAAAAUUGUUGCUGUGUAGCAUCUACUGUUGCAAAAAUUACACAUUUGCCAAAGGUAUCAGAAUUAAAUGAAAAAGAAGUUGCAGGAGGAAUUGAUUGUGAUGCUGUCGUUUUGACGGUAGCAAGAGUUUCAUAGCAGAAGAGAGCCAUCUCCAGGAGCAUCCUUCGACAACGUUUCUUCUUGUGAAUCAUUAAGCUGGAUUGGAAAGCUGAAGCAGAAGCCAUCAAGUGGAGAAGGUUUCAUCGGAUGGAUCCUGAAGUGGAACCAAACCUGUGACAGCAAUGUUGUGGCACCACAUUGCUCCCAUGUCAGAAGCGGGUGGAUGGUAUGAUGCGACCGGUCACUGUGACAUGUCUUGGUGAUCUUCUUUCUACAUGUCAACAAUCCCUCAAGAAAAGAUGGGAAAGAAAGCAGAGCAGCUACACAAAACAGAGCAAGAGACUAAGAAAACCGUGGUCCUGAUCUCCAUGGCUUGUGGGGAGUGCAGAGGCAUCAUAAACAUGAAUACCAGACUAGAUGCACUUGAUAGCAACUGCAAGAAUUAAUGUUUCCACAAUCACAAGAGGGAAGGAGACAGAAAUGUCGUCGUGGUCUGUAAUGUUCACAGGCUGCCAUUAAUGGUGCUUCGCCAACGAGUGUGUGUAGGAAAGGGAGGACGAGGAGGGGGGGGGGUCACUGGCCUUUUUGUUCCAAAGUCAGAGCUACCAUGGUGUGAUGAAAGCUUUGCCAUGUCUUCAUUUCAAGCUCUGCUGCGGUCGGAAUCCUCCUCCUGCUUUGACUGUCUUGAUAGCCAAACAGUCAUUUUUUGAGACAGCCAUAUAAAUUCCUCAGCCUCUCGCGUGGAGUCCGUUGCUGCCCCUCUGGAAGAAGUGAAGAGAUAGAAGUCAACUUUAAGCCACCAGAGAAAGGUGGAGAUCAGCAUGAGUCGGUCGAGAGUUGUGAUUCGGGCUAUUAAGAUAGCAAGAGGAAAUCUGUUUCACGGAUACGUGCCAUCAAAGGUGUUUUGACUUUAUCCUCACCACAAGAUUAUUUCUACAUGUGUAAGCAAUACUUUUUUUUCUCUCUUUUGUGCUGCUGAGGCGUUGACAAGUAUUCUAGGGAUGGUUGACUUUUCUUGAUAGAUAAUAUUACCACAUUGACAUAUUAUCGUAUGAACA
Non-coding RNA from Musa acuminata subsp. malaccensis (wild Malaysian banana), 5320 nucleotides. NCBI's taxonomy places the organism in Eukaryota, Viridiplantae, Streptophyta, Magnoliopsida, Zingiberales, Musaceae. The record is from RefSeq and is a predicted model, not a curated record.